RNAcentral lists this microRNA (22 nucleotides) under Dasypus novemcinctus (nine-banded armadillo). Its description in RNAcentral is "dno-miR-148a-5p". Its record names the gene dno-miR-148a-5p. Lineage: Eukaryota; Metazoa; Chordata; Mammalia; Cingulata; Dasypodidae. RNAcentral also lists the same sequence under 14 other names. The record is from miRBase by way of RNAcentral.
AAAGUUCUGAGACACUCCGACU